GACGAACGCUGGCGGCGUGCUUAACACAUGCAAGUCGAACGGAAAGGCCCUGCUUUUGUGGGGUGCUCGAGUGGCGAACGGGUGAGUAACACGUGAGUAACCUGCCCUUGACUUUGGGAUAACUUCAGGAAACUGGGGCUAAUACCGGAUAGGAGCUCCUGCUGCAUGGUGGGGGUUGGAAAGUUUCGGCGGUUGGGGAUGGACUCGCGGCUUAUCAGCUUGUUGGUGGGGUAGUGGCUUACCAAGGCUUUGACGGGUAGCCGGCCUGAGAGGGUGACCGGCGACAUGGGGACUGAGGGACGGCCCAGACUCCUACGGGAGGCAGCAGUGGGGAAUAUUGCACAAUGGGCGGAAGCCUGAUGCAGCAACGCCGCGUGCGGGAUGACGGCCUUCGGGUUGUAAACCGCUUUCGCCUGUGACGAAGCGUGAGUGACGGUAAUGGGUAAAGAAGCACCGGCUAACUACGUG
Molecule: ribosomal RNA, 468 nt
Filed under: uncultured bacterium
Lineage: Bacteria
Description: partial 16S ribosomal RNA
Rfam family: Bacterial small subunit ribosomal RNA
Source: RNAcentral